RNAcentral lists this ribosomal RNA (424 nucleotides) under uncultured prokaryote. Its description in RNAcentral is "bacterial SSU rRNA". It matches the Rfam family "Bacterial small subunit ribosomal RNA", at positions 355 to 796 of the family's 1533-position model. The record is from RNAcentral.
UGGGGAAUCUUGGACAAUGGGGGCAAUCCUGAUCCAGCCAUGCCGCGUGGGUGAAGAAGGCCUUAGGGUUGUAAAGCCCUUUCAGUCGUGACGAUGAUGACGGUAGCGACAGAAGAAGCCCCGGCUAACUCCGUGCCAGCAGCCGCGGUAAUACGGAGGAUGCAAGCGUUAUCCGGAAUUAUUCGGCGUAAAGCGUCCGCAGGUGGCACUUCAAGUCUGCUGUCAAAGACCAGAGCUCAACUCUGGGCAGGCGGUGGAAACUGGGGAGCUAGAGUACGGUAGGGGGAGAGGGAAUUUCCAGUGUAGCGGUGAAAUGCGUAGAGAUUGGAAAGAACACCAGUGGCGAAGGCGCUCUACUGGACCUGUACUGACACUAAGGGACGAAAGCUAGGGGAGCGAAAGGGAUUAGAUACCCCCGUAGUCC